RNAcentral lists this unclassified non-coding RNA (1118 nucleotides) under Hevea brasiliensis (rubber tree). The record is from RNAcentral. Lineage: Eukaryota; Viridiplantae; Streptophyta; Magnoliopsida; Malpighiales; Euphorbiaceae.
UAAAAAAAAAAAAAAACAAAAAUAUUAUAUAAUACAAUAAACCCCACAGACAAGGAAAAUCAAACUUCAUGUAUGCUCCUAUAGAGUUUAAACAGUACCUCAGUCAAGAGAUACACAUAAAUCUAGGACCUAAAUGAACUUGGGAAAUUGUGUUGACAACAAUUACUCAAAUAUUAUCAAGGCAAUAAGAUAAUUCAGUUAGGGCAGAUCAUCGUCGGUUUGGUUCUGAACCCAAAUCGAAACCAACUAACCGAAUUACCAAAUUUCUUGAAAAAUAGAAACCAAACAGAACUGUAUAAAAAAUAUAGCCAAAUCGAUUCAAACCGAAAUAUUUCAUUUUGGUUUGGUUCAUCAGUUUCGUUUCAGCAGAUCUGGGACUACUCUGAGCAAAGCCUAUCAGUUCAGGGACUUUUUCUCAAAGCAAAACCCAAAUCCAUGAAAACUCAACAAGGAAUCAACAAUCAAAUCCAUUCAAUGAUAAAUGAAAUUGAAAGACAAAUUAAGAAACAAAAAAUACAGACUGAAAUUAGGAUGAGAAAUGAAAUCAAACACAACCAAAGUCACAAACUGUCCACUGUACCCAGAACCAAAAACAUCAACUGAGAUGAGAAACGGUGAGGCUGUGAGUUGGUUUGCGAUAUUGAUUGCGGCCUGCAUUGCAUGAUUGCGUCUGCUGGGUCCAGCUCCUCGAGAGGAGAUUAGUGACAUGCAAGCAGGAGGCUAGGAGCAGCAUGGGUUUCUGGGUUAAGGUUUCAGUACAACUAUAUAUACAUAAUAAUUUGAGGGAGAACCAGAUGCCAGAUGGGGAGACGAGUUGAGUCUGUGGGGAAGAAGAAAAAGAAGAAUGCGAGGAAGGGUAAAUUGUGAUAGUGAGCACUGAACUGAGUGAAAAUCAGAGAAAGAAGAAGAAGAAAGGAGGUAAUAGGAAAGCUGGUUUUUCCGUUUUGGCUCUUUGCAUGAUGAGAGCUAUUUAGCACGGAAAUAAAAAUGCCAACACAGGAAAACGCACAAAUAGACAUGGGAAACGGCAUUUUCAAAAACGUAGGAAACAGAAAUGUGAAAGAAAUGCGUAAAUAUAAAAAAUAUAACGGUAUAUUUAUAAAUAUAAAAUAUAUUUA